UAUGUGAUCGUCUCUGUGCAUAUCAAUAAGCGGAGGAAAAGAGACUAACAAGGAUUCCCCUAGUAACGGCGAGUGAAGCGGGAAGAGCUCAAAUUUGAAAUCUUAAAGGGUUUCCCUUUACGAAUUGUAGUUUAAAGAAGUGUUUUCUGUUGAGGUUUUGGUAAAAGUUCUUUGGAAUAGGACAUCAUAGAGGGUGAGAAUCCCGUAUUUGACCUUUACUUUCAACUUUGUGAUACACUUUCAAAGAGUCGGAUUGUUUGGGAAUGCAGUCUAAAAUGGGUGGUAAAUUUCAUCUAAAGCUAAAUAUUGGCGAGAGACCGAUAGCGAACAAGUACCGUGAGGGAAAGAUGAAAAGAACUUUGAAAAGAGAGUUAAACAGUACGUGAAAUUGUCAAAAGGGAAGCGUUUGACACCAGUGUUGUUUUUCUGAAAAUCAAUUAAAGAACUGUUUAUGCUAAGUUGUUUAGACUUUAUCAGCUAUCUGUUUAGUUUUGAGCUUUUCUUUAAUGCACUUUUCAGUUAACAAGUCAACAUCAAUUUCUUUUGCUGUAAAAAAGCUUGAGGAAGGUGGCUUGAGAUUCGUCUUAAGUGUUUAUAGCCUCUUGCCUAUGCAGUCGGAGAGAUUGAGGUCUGCAGCGUAGAUCCUUCGGGGCUAAAUGCAUUUGUGCUAAGUUAUAGCAUUCUAUAGACAACUUGUUGACUAUGAUUUGUCUUGUAGCUUACUCGCUUAUGUUAUUUUACCUACGCUUAGGAUGUUGAUCUACAGAGCGAGAGU
RNAcentral lists this ribosomal RNA (775 nucleotides) under uncultured Neocallimastigales. RNAcentral describes it as "partial large subunit ribosomal RNA". It matches the Rfam family "Eukaryotic large subunit ribosomal RNA", at positions 24 to 635 of the family's 3401-position model. The record is from RNAcentral. Lineage: Eukaryota; Fungi; Neocallimastigomycota; Neocallimastigomycetes; Neocallimastigales.